UCCGAUAUAGUGUAGGGGGCUAUCACAUCACGCUCUCAUGUUGAGAACCGUGGAGACCGGGGUUCGAUUCCCCGUAUCGGAG
Molecule: transfer RNA, 82 nt
Filed under: Yarrowia lipolytica
Lineage: Eukaryota; Fungi; Ascomycota; Dipodascomycetes; Dipodascales
Description: tRNA-Glu
Rfam family: tRNA
About the family: Transfer RNA (tRNA) molecules are approximately 80 nucleotides in length. Their secondary structure includes four short double-helical elements and three loops (D, anti-codon, and T loops).
Source: RNAcentral